Molecule: unclassified non-coding RNA, 2838 nt
Filed under: Hevea brasiliensis (rubber tree)
Lineage: Eukaryota; Viridiplantae; Streptophyta; Magnoliopsida; Malpighiales; Euphorbiaceae
Source: RNAcentral
UAGACAACGAAUUAACGGAACCUUAAGUUUGAACAGUUCAUCCUUUGCCGCCACUCAGUCCACCACUAUGCCAUCACCGCCUCCAUUUCCGCCGUAGUAAUUGCUGAAAAAUCACAUAUCGCCAAUUUAUAUCUCGUCCUUUUGAAUGAAGAAAAGGCUGCAAAGCCUCUUCGGUUCUCUAUGCGAUUGCGGCGGUUGCCUGCGUCACAGAAAUGUUUCUUACUCUAUCUCCACUUCUCAAAGACCUGGACCUGGAGGUAUAUUGAACCCAGAUAGACAUUUUCAUUGUGGUGAACAAAAUCUGAAAGAUAGCAACUGUCGCACCAUGCCACCUCAUGCGGUUCGAUUGCAUAUUCAAGAUCGUCAUGUCGUGAUGGAUAAUGGCAUAGUUCAAGUCACAUUAUCAAAACCUGAAGGAAUUGUUACUGGCAUACGAUAUGAUGGAAUUGACAAUUUGCUUGAAGUUCUUAAUCGUGAAACAAAUAGAGGGUAUAUGAUGUUACAGCUACUUUAGUUUCUCAAAUUUGUUUCCUUUUAAGGUCUUCUUUUCCUGCUGAAUAUCUAGGCUACACAGUAGGUGGUAGCACUGUUGAAGCAUGGCUUCAAUCCCAGGGCUUCAUUGUGGUAACCAAUAACAUCGCUGUGCUGACUAGCAUCUUCCAGAUAUCCUAUUCGUAUGGAUGUUAAAAAAAAAUAUUGAUAUCAUGUGAAAAGAUAUAUAUAGAUAUUAUCCGGUCAAGAAGGUAUUUUUAUGAGUUUUCAUUAAGGCAGCUCUGUUUGCUACGCAGGUAUUGGAUUAGAUGAUUCAGAUUUCAGAAUUAUAAAAUUAAGAAUAAUCUGAUUUUUUUUUUCAUUUUAUUUUGUUUUUUGACUGAUUAAUGUCACAUUACUAGAAAAUUGACUCUUAACUUUUAUGUGUAGAUAUUGGGAUCUUUUCUGGAAUCCACCAGGAGGCAAGGGAAUCUUUGAUGUGAUUAGUGGAACAAGUUUCAGGGUGAUUGUGGAAAAUGAGGAACAGGUUGAGCUCUCAUUCACAAGAAUGUGGGAUCCCUCCCUGGAGGGAAAGUACAUUCCCCUAAACAUAGAUAAAAGGUUUAUAUUACUCCGUGGUUCUUCAGGCUUCUACUCUUAUGCCAUCUAUGAGCACUUACAAGAGUGGCCAGGUUUUGAACUUGGCGAAACCAGGAUCACUUUCAAACUCAGAAAAGACAAGUUUCAGUAUAUGGCUGUAGGAGAUAAUCGGCAAAGACUGAUGCCCCUGCCUGAUGACCGUAUGCCAGGAAGAUGUCAAACCCUGGCCUAUCCAGAAGCCGUCCUUCUUGUUAAUCCUAAGUUCCCAGAGCUUAAAGGAGAGGUGGAUGACAAGUACCAAUAUUCAUGCAAUAAUGAAGACAAUCAGGUCCAUGGGUGGAUGUCCUUCAACCCACCAGUGGGGUUUUGGCAAAUUACACCAAGCAAUGAAUUCCGAACUGGUGGGCCCCUCAAACAGAACCUGACCUCACAUGUUGGCCCCACCACGCUUGCUAUGUUCCAUAGUUCACAUUAUGCGGGAAAUGAUCUGGUGCCAAGGUGCAACCUUGGCGAGCAUUGGAAGAAAGUUUUUGGCCCAGUUUUCAUCUAUCUUAAUUCUGCAUCAACUGGAAAUGACCCACUUUUUCUGUGGGAAGAUGCCAAAAUACAGAUGAUGGCUGAAGUCCAAAGCUGGCCAUACAGUUUUCCAGCCUCUGCAGAUUUCCAAAAGUCAGCAGAACGAGGGAAUGUAUGUGGUAGACUACUUGUCCAAGACAUGUGUAUGAGUGAGGACCAUAUUAUAGCAAGUGGUGCUUAUGUAGGGAUGGCCCCACCAGGUGACGUUGGAUCAUGGCAGAGAGAAUGCAAGGACUACCAAUUUUGGACCAGAGCAGAUGAGAAUGGCUUUUUCUCCAUUAAAAACGUCCGUACAGGGGACUAUAAUCUUUAUGCAUGGGUUCCUGGAUUCAUUGGGGAUUAUCGAUUUGAAGCUGUCAUUACCAUAAACUCAGGUUGUAAUAUCGAAAUGGGUGAUCUUGUAUAUAAGCCUCCUAGAGAUGGACCUACAUUGUGGGAAAUAGGCAUCCCUGAUCGUUCUGCUGCAGAAUUUUAUGUUCCUGAUCCUGAUCUAGUGCAUGUCAAUAAAUUAUUUAUCAAUCAUCCUGACAGGUUUAGGCAAUAUGGGUUGUGGAGCAGAUAUGUGGAUUUAUAUCCCGAGGCGGACUUGGUUUACACAGUUGGUGUCAGUGACUAUCGCAAAGAUUGGUUUUUUGCACAGGUAGUGAGGAGGAAAGAUGAUGGUACACAUGUAGGUACCACAUGGCAAAUAAAGUUCAAACUUGACAAAGUUGAUCGAAGGAACACCUACAAAUUGCGCGUGGCAUUGGCAUCUGCAGCUCUGGCAGAACUGCAGGUUCGUGUUAAUGACCCAAAUGCCCCCCGCCCUGUAUUUACAACUGGACUAAUUGGAAGGGACAAUUCGAUCGCAAGACAUGGGAUUCAUGGGCUCUACCGGCUGUACAAUGUGAAUAUACCAGGUGUUCGGUUAGUUGAAGGAGAGAAUACCAUCUUCUUGACACAGCCAAGAUGCACCAGCCCUUUCCAGGGUCUCAUGUAUGACUAUAUUCGUCUGGAAAGUCCUCCAUCUUCAUGAUCCAUAAAUGAAAUUUCAUGUUCAUGUAAGUAAAAUAUUUUCAAAAUGGUUCACAAAAUAAUGCGUGUGUGUAUGUAUGCCUAUGUCUGAGUUUACCUUCAUAGGACAAUAAGCCAAAAUGUGUCGAUGUACGGAUGAGCUAAAUGUGGAAUACAACUAUGCAUAUGAUAAUUUAU